AUCAACUCAAAUUUGACUCAGUCUACUCAUUUAAUACCUCUCUCUGAUCAUUUACACUUUUACCUCUAUUUAUAUUAAUUUUCAAGUUUAUCUCUCAAACAUAUAUGCUAAAUAUAAGUUGGACUUAAAGCCGUAUACAACUAAAUAAACUUUAUCUCCUUAUGGUAAGAGGCUCGCUUAGGUAAAAGGUAAGAAUAGAAAAAGAGUGCACGAAAAACAUUGAUAAGAAGGUGGAGAGUAUUAUCAUAUAUCUCUCUGACCCUCUUUUCUUAUAUAUUCCCUACUCACCCUAACUUUCAACCCCAAAAACCAAAAGCAAUCAUCAUGUUUUCUGAAUCAUCACCACCACCAAGAAGAACAAAACCUUACUACUUCUUUCACCGCCGUCAUCAUUGUUCCCACCACCAACUUCCUAAUACUUAUUUCAAAAAGACAUCAUCAUUAUUCUCACUACCACCACCACCUUAUUCAAGGAAGAAGAACAAUAAUAUUCGUCAGAAAAAACGUGGUGGUGGACAUGAUGUUUUUGUUCGUGAGGAUAAUGAUGAUGACACUGAUGAACAUGUACACAAGAGUAUAGUAUUAAUUUGGCAAGAGACGUUUGAAUGAACGACUCUAGCUAAAAGUCACUUUUUUUCCUUUGUGGGGGAAUCAAGCUUCUUGGUCCGAUCUCUUUGCUAUUUCAAGCAAAGUCAUCACUUUUUACUUAAUUAUAUACAACCUGCCUAGCUACCUACUAGAUCUUCUUGUUGGAUACAAAAAUUACUUGGUCAAGGAAGAGAAAGAACAAGGAUUUGUGAACCGCUAGCUAGCUGCAGGUGGAAACAACCAACUGAUAUACUAUUUUGUUGGAGCUGAUGAAGAGGAAAGCAAGGGGAAGCUGCUUAUAUAUUAUGACUACCUACAAGCUGAAAAGUUGGUUGUUGUACGUUUCAUAUUGCCCAUAGUUAGUUGUAAAUAGCAUGAUUGUACUCGACCAUCAUCAUUAUUCCCUAGCUUAUGACUACCCGCUGUCAACAGUUUUUUGUCAUGCAUAAUUCGCACCGUUCAUAUACACAUCAAAAUAUCUCAAGGGAUUAAUUUUAAAGCUUAAAUUUUGUGUACACAUUGUAUAAAAUAUUUUACAAUCAUUAGGUAAAAUUAAUAAAAUUGACUUGCUAUUGCAAGUUACCCAUUCUUUCCUAAUGUAUUUUUGUCCUUUUCUAAAAUUAAAUAACUUUGCUUGGCUCAUUAUCUCCGGGAAACUCCCAUUGUAACUCAGUCUCUGAUCUGAACCUGUUAAUUGAGCCGAGUCAAGUCGAAUCAGCCCGGUUAGACCAGUCAAAAAUGUUAUCCGAACCAGUCUGACCCGGAAUCGGUAGGUUUGGGGGGUUUGGAGUUGGGUUCUGGUGAUGGGUCAUCUGGUUCAAGGAGUCCAGUGGAUCGGUCUAGUUAUAAAACGGAUCAGGUCCACUGGUGCAUCAGACUGACCCCAUUAAUUU
Molecule: long non-coding RNA, 1481 nt
Organism: Capsicum annuum
Lineage: Eukaryota; Viridiplantae; Streptophyta; Magnoliopsida; Solanales; Solanaceae
Exons: 2
Source: RefSeq, a predicted model, not a curated record